RNAcentral lists this small RNA (26 nucleotides) under Bombyx mori (domestic silkworm). RNAcentral's name for it is "ovarian small RNA-9197". Lineage: Eukaryota; Metazoa; Arthropoda; Insecta; Lepidoptera; Bombycidae. The record is from RNAcentral.
UGUUCUUAGUGCUCACAUUGUGCAAA